This 602-nucleotide long non-coding RNA is filed under the name Rattus norvegicus (Norway rat). RNAcentral's name for it is "long non-coding RNA NONRATT003158". Lineage: Eukaryota; Metazoa; Chordata; Mammalia; Rodentia; Muridae. The record is from RNAcentral.
CUUUCCACGGUUCGCCGGGAUCCUAACACGUCAGGCCAUCUAGCAGUCCAGUAUUCAGUUCCAGACUCUAUCUGCAUGGGCCUCAUCCCACUCACUUGGCCCUGCCCCUCCCCGAGUCCCGCAGCUAACUUGACUGGACUGUCCAAUCCCCUUCCAGUGGCCCCGCCUCGCCCCCUUACCUGCCUAAUCCAAAGACCACGCCCACUGCAUAGGCCACGCCCACAAUGGUGGGCGCUAUGCCCCGCCCCCUUCCCAAGUCUCAGCGCUGGCCGGCUGCCUCCAGCAGUCGGCUCUGCCCCCAUUCCCUUGCUCCCUGCAUGCACGGCGGCGCCCUCUCGCACCGAUCCCUGGCCACCCGUGCCGUCGGUUCUCACCUAGGGCUGCUGGCGCAGCUGCCAUCGUCUCAGCCCAAACGGCGGAUUCCCGCACUCACUGGUGAUGGCACUCCCGCUUCCGGGUCCGCUCGGCUGUUUCCGGAUCCGCUCGGCUGUUUCCGGAUCGGGUCUGCAGGGGCCCCGGGGGUUGGCGGGGCGGUAUGGUCAAGAGAGGCAGAAGGCAUUCGAGUGGACGCGGAGUGUGGGUCCCGCCUCUCUUGCGGCCGC